Long non-coding RNA from Rhincodon typus (whale shark), 1567 nucleotides. RefSeq lists it as uncharacterized. Lineage: Eukaryota; Metazoa; Chordata; Chondrichthyes; Orectolobiformes; Rhincodontidae. The record is from RefSeq and is a predicted model, not a curated record. The transcript has 2 exons.
CAACCUCAACACCCACAACCCGAGCUACAGAUCUACUCCAAAACCUUAGAAAUAUCAACAGUUUUUAAAGUACAUGUUUGAUAAUCUGACGUGUUAUCUCUGGUGGCACAGGCCAUCUUUAAUUGAAAUCCUAAAAGACAAAAAUUCUCCUCAUUUCAAAGCCGAUGAUUGUUUGAAACCCUGUACACUUGUAUGUUGAGGUUAAAGUUUGUUACCUUUUAGUACUGGAUUGGAAGUUUACUACUUUUGAUCAGUGAGUUUAUAUAUUUUUACACUGACUUUUUACCUGAUGAGAAUGCAAAGGAAGAUCAUGAAUGUUCAAUGCGUUACUUUACAAUGAUGAAAAGGAGCUAAAGGAUACAUAAGAUUACUUCCGCAUCUAACUAUUUAUAUGCUCUCUGUUCUCAACAGGUGCUGUAGUUGCACGUGAAUAUGGGUUACCUUGUAUUGUGAGUUGCAAAAAUGCAACAAAUCUAUUCAAAUCAGGUGAUACCGUGAUACUCAAUGGGAGGAAUGGAUUUGUGCAGAAAGUUUGAAAAAAAGUGAAAAUUUGAAUGUAUUUAUAAGGCAACAUAAACUUUGUAUCUAAAUUUCUAAGACUGCAGUUUGAAGUUAAACAUAAAUAAUCACACAACUUUGAAGUGUUAAAUAUAUUAUGUGUAUCUAUUUUUAUAUAUACAAUAUAUACUACCUGCAUUGUUUUUAAAAACUAGAUUGUGACACUCAAAUUUUUCUUCCUGCUGCACAGACCUCCAAACUUUUGGAAAUGGAAGUGAUUUGUCAGCAUGAACAUCUUAAGAAGAAAUGUUGCUGAAGUGUUAUUCUGCAUGUUUUGAAUCUGCCCACAAUCACCCAUAUCUCCCAAAUAUUCCUUGAACCACAGUCUUGCCUCCACCUGUGAUCCAUGCUCAAUCCCAAGUGCCUAAAUGCACCUUGUUGGCCUCUCUCUCUUCAGCAGCUCAUACUGUCUCAUCAUUGCAUGCGGUGAAGAAUGAAAUGUAAUGCUUCAAACCCUUCUGUUCAAGUAUGAAGAACUGCAGACUUCCAACAAACCCAGGGCAUCAAUAAUUCCACUAGCUUCUUCUGCCUCUUCAUUUUAUCCUGACCCCUUUCUUCCAGCCUCACUCCAUGCUGUGUUUUUACGAUCUCUCUCUGACUGCUCCCUCUCUGCCAUGGUCAUUUAUUCCUCAGCAUAGGCUGGAAAUUCAUCCCUUUAAAUCUCCACUCCAAUUAACAACAUGAUGAUGAGCUCUUCUUCCAUUGCCGUCAUCUCCAUCCCAUUUCCUCAGCCAACAGUAUUCUGCCCAUUCAGCAAAAUUUGGUGUGGAAUUCCAACAGUGUGGAAGCAGGCCAUUCAGCCUAUCGAGUCCACACCAACCCAGAUCUAUACCCCUUACCCUAUAACCCUGCAUUUCCCAUGGCUAAUCCACUUAGCCUGCUUACGCUUAGAACUAUGGCCAACUUAGCAUGACAAUCCACUUAGCUUGCACAUCUUUGGACCGUGGGAGGAAACAGGAGCAUGCGGAGGAAACCCACACAGAUGUGGCAACAAUGUGCAAACUCCACA